CCUACGGGUGGCUGCAGUGGGGAAUAUUGGACAAUGGGCGAAAGCCUGAUCCAGCCAUGCCGCGUGAGUGAAGAAGGCCUUCGGGUUGUAAAGCUCUUUCGACGGGGACGAUGAUGACGGUACCCGUAUAAGAAGCCCCGGCAAACUUCGUGCCAGCAGCCGCGGUAAUACGAAGGGGGCUAGCGUUGUUCGGAAUUACUGGGCGUAAAGCGCGCGUAGGCGGUGAUCCAUGUCAGAGGUGAAAGCCUGGAGCUCAACUCCAGAAUUGCCUUUGAAACGGGAUCGCUAGAGUCCGAGAGAGGAUGGCGGAAUUCCUAGUGUAGAGGUGAAAUUCGUAGAUAUUAGGAAGAACACCGGUGGCGAAGGCGGCCAUCUGGCUCGGUACUGACGCUCAGGCGCGAAAGCGUGGGGAGCAAACAGGAUUAGAUACCCCUGUAGUC
Molecule: ribosomal RNA, 440 nt
Filed under: uncultured bacterium
Lineage: Bacteria
Description: partial 16S ribosomal RNA
Rfam family: Bacterial small subunit ribosomal RNA
Source: RNAcentral